Centrocercus urophasianus (Greater sage-grouse) is the source of this 321-nucleotide long non-coding RNA. RefSeq lists it as uncharacterized. The record is from RefSeq and is a predicted model, not a curated record. The transcript has 3 exons. NCBI's taxonomy places the organism in Eukaryota, Metazoa, Chordata, Aves, Galliformes, Phasianidae.
GCUUCUUCUUCCUCAGAAGUGCAUCUCUAAGAGCCAGCUGGAAUAUGAAACAAGAGAAGAUUAUUCAGGUUUUUAAGAUUUUCUGGAGAUUUUCUUGCAGAGUAAUGCUGAAGUAGCUUUCUGUUUGCCAUUUGCUGCAGAAUAACAUGCCUAAGGUAUCUUCAUAGAUCUAUAAAUAUCAGAAGGGCAAAAAUGUCACAUAAUUUCCAAGAAAGCAGGCUGGAGUUCCCAAACUCACUUAAUGGCCGGCACUGGAUAUUCCUGAGAAAAGGCCUAGAUGACUUCAGAGAUGGCUUCCCUCCUUCAUGUGAAAAUAUGGUU